This 492-nucleotide ribosomal RNA is filed under the name uncultured bacterium. RNAcentral describes it as "partial 16S ribosomal RNA". It matches the Rfam family "Bacterial small subunit ribosomal RNA", at positions 29 to 507 of the family's 1533-position model. The record is from RNAcentral.
AGUGAACGCUGGCGGUAGGCCUAACACAUGCAAGUCGAACGGCAGCACAGUAAGAGCUUGCUCUUACGGGUGGCGAGUGGCGGACGGGUGAGGAAUACAUCGGAAUCUACUUUUUCGUGGGGGAUAACGUAGGGAAACUUACGCUAAUACCGCAUACGACCUACGGGUGAAAGCAGGGGAUCUUCGGACCUUGCGCGAUUGAAUGAGCCGAUGUCAGAUUAGCUAGUUGGCGGGGUAAAGGCCCACCAAGGCGACGAUCCGUAGCUGGUCUGAGAGGAUGAUCAGCCACACUGGAACUGAGACACGGUCCAGACUCCUACGGGAGGCAGCAGUGGGGAAUAUUGGACAAUGGGCGCAAGCCUGAUCCAGCCAUACCGCGUGGGUGAAGAAGGCCUUCGGGUUGUAAAGCCCUUUUGUUGGGAAAGAAAAGCAGCAGGUUAAUACCCCGCUGCUCUGACGGUACCCAAAGAAUAAGCACCGGCUAACUUCGUG